AACGAACGCUGGCGGCAGGCUUAACACAUGCAAGUCGAACGGAUGCAGCAAUGCAUCAGUGGCGCACGGGUGAGUAACACGUGGAUAUCUGCCUUUUGGUUCGGAAUAACCCUGGGAAACUAGGGCUAAUACCGGAUGGUUCCUACGGGAUAAAGAUUUAUCGCCAAAAGAUGAGUCCGCGUCCGAUUAGCUAGUUGGUGAGGUAAUGGCUCACCAAGGCGACGAUCGGUAGCUGGUCUGAGAGGACGAUCAGCCACACUGGGACUGAGACACGGCCCAGACUCCUACGGGAGGCAGCAGUGGGGAAUAUUGGACAAUGGGGGGCAACCCUGAUCCAGCCAUGCCGCGUGAGUGAUGAAGGCCUUAGGGUUGUAAAGCUCUUUUGCCAGGGAAGAUGAUGACUGUACCGCAAGAAUAAGCCCCGGCUAACUUCGUGCCAGCAGCCGCGGUAAU
Molecule: ribosomal RNA, 453 nt
Filed under: uncultured bacterium
Lineage: Bacteria
Description: bacterial SSU rRNA
Rfam family: Bacterial small subunit ribosomal RNA
Source: RNAcentral